AUUGAACGCUGGCGGCAGGCCUAACACAUGCAAGUCGAGCGAGCGGCGGACGGGUGAGUAAUGUAUGGGGACUGCCCGAUAGAGGGGGAUAACCACUGGUUACGGUAGCUAAUACCGCAGCCUAUCGGAUUACCCACAUAGGAUUAGCUAGUAGGUGUGGUAAUGGCUCACCCAGGCGACGAUCCCUCUCUGGUCUGAGAGGAGGAUCAGCCACACUGGGACUGAGACACGGCCCAGACUCCUACGGGGGCAGUAGUGGGGAAUAUUGACCGAUGGGCGAGAGCCUGAUGCAGCACUGCCGCGUGUAUGAAGAAGGCCCUAGGGUUGUAAAGUACUUUCAGUAGGGAGGCGUUACCGAGAGAAGAAGCACCGGCUAACUCCGUGCCAGCAGCCGCGGUAAGUA
RNAcentral lists this ribosomal RNA (403 nucleotides) under uncultured bacterium. Its description in RNAcentral is "partial 16S ribosomal RNA". It matches the Rfam family "Bacterial small subunit ribosomal RNA", at positions 30 to 525 of the family's 1533-position model. The record is from RNAcentral.